UGCGUAGGCGGGCUAAUAAGUCAGUGGUGAAAUCUCUCGGCUCAACCGGGAAACUGCCAUUGAUACUGUUAGUCUUGAGUUCGGUUGACGUAGGCGGAAUGUGUAAUGUAGCGGUGAAAUGUUUAGAUAUUACACAGAACACCAAUUGCGUAGGCAGCUUACUAGACCGACACUGACGCUGAGGCACGAAAGCGUGGGGAGCGAACAGGAUUAGAUACCCUGGUAGUCC
Molecule: ribosomal RNA, 229 nt
Filed under: uncultured bacterium
Lineage: Bacteria
Description: partial 16S ribosomal RNA
Rfam family: Bacterial small subunit ribosomal RNA
Source: RNAcentral